AUCGAAUUGAAACCGAAAUAAUGAAAAAUCAAACCAGAACCAUAUCGAAAUUUCAGUUUAGUUCUAGUUCUUGACAAAACUCUGAACUGAACAUAAACCAAACAUCCCUAUUUUUGGUAACACGAUAUUUAAUGGUAUCCGCUACUCAAUAUUUGAUCAAUAGCUGGAAUUUGCAGGAGGGAUGUCCAAAGUUGUUGCAGUUAAAAAGAACCAAAAACAAAAAAAGCUCCUAUGUGAUAUCUAAGCCGCUAGCCUUUUAUUUUUCACUUGCAAACCAUUAAACUUAAUAUUUUAUUCUUACUCUAGGAUUCAUGACAUUGUCUUCAUUCCAAUCUAUAUGGAACUUAUGUCUGCAUUAUUUAUUAAUUAUUAUUGAAAACUCCUAAACUACUACCUCCACAGGUUAGUUGCUGUUUUAUUUUGGGCUAAAAGUGAUUCUUCUACCCUAUUCUCUGCCAUGCAGGCUCCCUCAUGUGUCAAAAGCUAAAGCUGACCAAAAGAUGCAGCUCAGUGGCAAGAUUGAGAAUGUACCUUCAAUUCUCGGAAAUCCGACAGUUGUCCAGGUCUGUGAAUUUUUGGCCAGACAGACCGACUAACAAAAAGGUCUCCGAAUUGGAUCUAGAUUUUGGCUAUCCCACCAUUGUCAGAUGUCCCGUGCGCGUCCCCGGAGUCGGAAUCGGCAUAGGUAAACCCGAACCUUGCUUUAUCAUAAUUUUCUAGUGCUUAAAUGGGAUUAAAAAUCCAUAAAAUAUUCAUGGUAGCUCAGAAAAUUAUGAUUCUUUUUGUAUUAGCUUAGUAAUGUUGCUAAGGACCACGAGGCAAAGUUUUAGAAUUUUUAGAGCUUAUUUGGGUAGUUUUUGCAAAAAGGGUCAAUUAUAAGGACUAAACUGUAAUUUUUCACAUUGUGAUUGUUGAUUGUUGGAUGGGCCCAGGAGGGGCUAUGUGAUGUGAUUGAGUUGUGAAUGUGAGAUUUGUGGAUAUAGAAGUGUAUUUUAAACCCUUUUACAGGUUGAGUAGGUCAUAGGUAUAGGAGACACUCUGCCGGAUUUUCGGCAUGACUUAGGGUGUCUUUGAUCUUUUCUAAGCUUGUAUCGAGUCAAAUAUAUUAAAUAAUUGUAAUAAAAUUUUUCAUGUGAGCCGGGACAGCCUUUCUCUUCCGCCCAGCCGCCGCAGUGACCUCAGUUAAGUCUGUGAGUAAAAUAUUAAUU
Molecule: unclassified non-coding RNA, 1208 nt
Filed under: Hevea brasiliensis (rubber tree)
Lineage: Eukaryota; Viridiplantae; Streptophyta; Magnoliopsida; Malpighiales; Euphorbiaceae
Source: RNAcentral